GGAGAGGUGGCCGAGUUGGUUUAAGGCGUCAGUCUCGAAAACUGAUAUACGGGAAACCGUAUCGGGGGUUCGAAUCCCCCCCUCUCCGCCA
This 91-nucleotide transfer RNA is filed under the name Candidatus Endomicrobiellum devescovinae. RNAcentral's name for it is "tRNA-Ser". It matches the Rfam family "tRNA". From Rfam's summary of the family: Transfer RNA (tRNA) molecules are approximately 80 nucleotides in length. Their secondary structure includes four short double-helical elements and three loops (D, anti-codon, and T loops). Lineage: Bacteria; Pseudomonadati; Elusimicrobiota; Endomicrobiia; Endomicrobiales; Endomicrobiaceae. The record is from RNAcentral.